UACGUAGGGUGCAAGCGUUGUCCGGAAUUAUUGGGCGUAAAGAGCUCGUAGGCGGUUCGUCGCGUCGGCUGUGAAAACCCGGAGCUCAACUCCGGGCCUGCAGUCGAUACGGGCGGACUCGAGUUCGGCAGGGGAGACUGGAAUUCCUGGUGUAGCGGUGAAAUGCGCAGAUAUCAGGAGGAACACCAACGGCGAAGGCAGCUCUCUGGGACGGUACUGACGCUGAGACGCGAAAGCGUGGGGAGCAAACAGG
This 253-nucleotide ribosomal RNA is filed under the name uncultured bacterium. Its description in RNAcentral is "partial 16S ribosomal RNA". It matches the Rfam family "Bacterial small subunit ribosomal RNA", at positions 524 to 776 of the family's 1533-position model. The record is from RNAcentral.